Molecule: ribosomal RNA, 857 nt
Filed under: Metabacillus litoralis
Lineage: Bacteria; Bacillati; Bacillota; Bacilli; Caryophanales; Bacillaceae
Description: bacterial SSU rRNA
Rfam family: Bacterial small subunit ribosomal RNA
Source: RNAcentral
UGCAGUCGAGCGAAUUGAUGGGAGCUUGCUCCCUGAUAUUAGCGGCGGACGGGUGAGUAACACGUGGGUAACCUGCCUGUAAGAUUGGGAUAACUCCGGGAAACCGGAGCUAAUACCGGAUAAUAUUUUGAACCGCAUGGUUCAAAAUUGAAAGAUGGUUUCGGCUAUCACUUACAGAUGGACCCGCGGCGCAUUAGCUAGUUGGUGAGGUAACGGCUCACCAAGGCAACGAUGCGUAGCCGACCUGAGAGGGUGAUCGGCCACACUGGGACUGAGACACGGCCCAGACUCCUACGGGAGGCAGCAGUAGGGAAUCUUCCGCAAUGGACGAAAGUCUGACGGAGCAACGCCGCGUGAACGAUGAAGGCCUUCGGGUCGUAAAGUUCUGUUGUUAGGGAAGAACAAGUACCAGAGUAACUGCUGGUACCUUGACGGUACCUAACCAGAAAGCCACGGCUAACUACGUGCCAGCAGCCGCGGUAAUACGUAGGUGGCAAGCGUUGUCCGGAAUUAUUGGGCGUAAAGCGCGCGCAGGUGGUUUCUUAAGUCUGAUGUGAAAGCCCACGGCUCAACCGUGGAGGGUCAUUGGAAACUGGGGAACUUGAGUGCAGAAGAGGAAAGUGGAAUUCCAAGUGUAGCGGUGAAAUGCGUAGAGAUUUGGAGGAACACCAGUGGCGAAGGCGACUUUCUGGUCUGUAACUGACACUGAGGCGCGAAAGCGUGGGGAGCGAACAGGAUUAGAUACCCUGGUAGUCCACGCCGUAAACGAUGAGUGCUAAGUGUUAGAGGGUUUCCGCCCUUUAGUGCUGCAGCUAACGCAUUAAGCACUCCGCCUGGGGAGUACGGUCGCAAGACUG